This 27-nucleotide non-coding RNA is filed under the name Mus musculus (house mouse). Lineage: Eukaryota; Metazoa; Chordata; Mammalia; Rodentia; Muridae. The record is from RNAcentral.
UGUGAUAUCCUUGGGAGUGUACUGGGC